GAAAGUGUUGCCACCCCACACAUCCAAGUGCAGGUGGUUUCCUUACCUGCAUAGAAGCGAAUGAGGCAGCCAAUCUCCGAGUCCAUACCUUCCUCCUGCACCCUCCACAACUCCCCAAAUCCCAGUUGAAAGAGAAUAAUGAAAAUUGGAGUUGGGUGGAAAGAAGAGCAAGGAUCCACAGUGUGACUCCUACCUUGUUCCACCUCCAAACCUUCCAUAAAGUUACUCAACUUGAAGGUGAGAGGAGAGACAGAAAGAAAAUGAGAGUUCAUAAAUAGACAGUGCCCUUAACACCAGAUCAACUGGAAUCUGGUAGUUGAGAUAAUACAUUGAUAGGGCCAUGAAACUUGUACUUGGAGUUUACUAGUAUUGUAAAAUGUCAUUCAGACCAUCUGAGCCAGCACACACUAUACUGAAUAAGAAAAGGACUUCAGUACAGGAUAAAUAUUUUCCAGACACCCAUGAAAUAGCUUCUUCUACUUUAAAGUAGAGUGGGGAAUAGACCAAUAUCCUGAAACCACGUGACUCCUGAAUGACACCCCCCCACACCCAACCUUUAAAGUGCUGCAAAUGUACAGUCAUCUAAUAUCACAUUUCUGACUAGCCACGCUUUUCAAAGAAUCACCUCUUAAAAUGCUAAAAGAUAAUCCUGAAAAGAAAAAACAGAUGUAAAAGUUGCAAACCUGGAUGCCAACUUGUUAAAAUAUUUUAACAAAAUAAACUUGUGUUGAAGGUCACGACAAUGAAGUAUUAGAUCGCAUGAAGACCAUGGAAUCCCAGUACUUCUGGUAACAAUAUGAAGAAAAACACCAUCCCAAACUAGUACCAGAUCUCAGACAGACAUUUUGGAAUCACAGGACAAGAUUUUACAAAGAGUUGCUGUCUCCAAUGCUCUUCCAUUCAAUGGUUAUGAUAAAUACAGAGCUGCGACUUUCAAGAGCUUAACAAUUUACAACCAUCUGUUGCCAUAUGGAUUGAAAUAUUACAAAAAGUGGCCACUGCCCCAGUGCCAUAGCAUGUGCAUCAUCUUAUACCUGUGUGAUAACAAUGAGGCAUCAGGAAAAUAAAGCAGAAGGGCUCAUAUGAACAUCAGAUGUAAUGAUGGUGACAGUGACAAUAACAUUCUUAGUCUUCUGCACGUCCAAUAGUUAAAAGGUGGCUCUGGCCCGGUUGGCGUGGCUCAGUGGUUGAGCAUCGACCUAUGAACCAGGAGGUCAAGGUUCAAUUCCCAGUCAGGGCACAUGCCCAGGCUGGGGCUCAAUCCCCAGUAGGAGGUGUGCAGGAGGCAGCCAAUCAAUGAUUCUCUCUCAUCAUUGAUGUUUCUCUCUCUCUCUCUCUCCCUCUCCCUUCCUCUCUGAAAUAAAAAUAUAUUUAAAAAAAAAUUUUAAAGGUGACUCUGUGUAAUAUUUUGGGGGAGUUUAAUAAUAUACAACGUUGGAAGUCAGAAGUUGUCAUUCUAGUCUUGGUAUUACACUAGUUAAGUAUGACCUUGGGAAGAUAUUAAACCUCAAGGAGGCUUCAGUUAUUAAUUUAUGAAAUGAAGGGAUUGAACUAGGUAGUGUCUCUAAAAUCCCUUCCAGCUCAAAACAUUUUUUUCUGAUUCUGGCUAAAAACAAAUGGUCUAAUUUGGAAUAUUGG
Long non-coding RNA from Myotis myotis, 1638 nucleotides. RefSeq lists it as uncharacterized. The record is from RefSeq and is a predicted model, not a curated record. NCBI's taxonomy places the organism in Eukaryota, Metazoa, Chordata, Mammalia, Chiroptera, Vespertilionidae. The transcript has 4 exons.